RNAcentral lists this ribosomal RNA (426 nucleotides) under uncultured bacterium. Its description in RNAcentral is "bacterial SSU rRNA". It matches the Rfam family "Bacterial small subunit ribosomal RNA", at positions 355 to 796 of the family's 1533-position model. The record is from RNAcentral.
CGAGGAAUUUUGCGCAAUGGGCGAAAGCCUGACGCAGCAACGCCGCGUGGGUGAGGAAGGCCUUCGGGUCGUAAAGCCCUUUUGUCGGGGACGAAGUGGUGACGGUACCCGACGAAGAAGCCACGGCUAACUACGUGCCAGCAGCCGCGGUAAUACGUAGGUGGCGAGCGUUGUCCGGAUUUAUUGGGCGUAAAGGGCGCGCAGGUGGUGCGCUAAGUCCGUCGUGAAAUCUCCCGGCUCAACUGGGAGGGUGCGGCGGGGACUGGCGGACUAGAGGCACUCAGAGGCCGGUGGAAUUCCCGGUGUAGUGGUGAAAUGCGUAGAGAUCGGGAGGAACACCAGUGGCGAAGGCGGCCGGCUGGGGGUGACCUGACGCUGAGGCGCGAAAGCGUGGGGAGCGAACCGGAUUAGAUACCCGCGUAGUCC